RNAcentral lists this long non-coding RNA (296 nucleotides) under Selaginella moellendorffii. Its description in RNAcentral is "long non-coding RNA (SMOE_LNC001437)". The record is from RNAcentral. Lineage: Eukaryota; Viridiplantae; Streptophyta; Lycopodiopsida; Selaginellales; Selaginellaceae.
UGACCCAAUGGUUUGAAGAGGCGAGGGGCAUCCCGAGCGGAGCAACGUGGAGACGAGUCAUGUGCUUUGGACGGCAUGGCCGGGGCAUGCAUACCGGAUGGGACGAAGUUGGAGCUGAGAGAGGUUCCCCUGUUUGGCAAGUGCUGGGAAAGGACAGGUGGGGGAUACUGCGCGCAGCGGGCGUCCAGGUGUUGUGGGAGGCUCGCAACAAGAUGCGCUUCGAUGGGACAGAGGCCCGUGUAUCAGCCAUGGUAGCAAACUGGUGGAGGAUGACUCUGGCGGCAGUGAGAGUAAAG